AAGUUCCCUACGCCAGUUCUCUCUUUGCCUGCUGCCAUCCAAGUGGUAUGUGACUUGCUGCUCCUUGCCUUCUGCCAUAAUUGUGAGGCCUCCUCAGCCACAGGGAAAUGACUCUGCUUACCCUUUGUGAAUAAGCCCAGUGAAUCUGCUGAGUGAUGAGAGAGAGAGUGGGCCAGUCACUUCAUUGCUCCAGGCAACAUGCAGUUAUCUUCCCCCAGGUGGUUAUGUUGAACAUGUAAAUAUUCUCCCUGCUGUGAGUAUUACUGCAGCUGCCCAAAGAUGCUAUAUUUUAAAGAUGUGGAUACAGGAAGAUAAAAGCAUCAGAAACACUGCAUGAGGGAGCAAAGUAAUAUAAUUCCACAAAAUGCACCAUCCUGUGACCCCUUCAAGGAAGGACAUGCUGCUCAGCCCUAUGAGAACAAGAAAAUCAUUCAGACUGCAGCUCCCUGGUUUUAGACAUCCCCACUGGCAAUUGGGACAUCUAUUUUGGAGAUGUAAUUGAAAAGACUGAAGAAUGUACUGAGGACCUUCUGGCUGACAGAAGCUGACAAAGAAGCCAAGAUUGGUGAAGAUUUCUGCAAUACCUGAGUUUCUAAUCACAACAACAAAAAUGACCUGGAUAGAAGUACUUGAUGGGCAUCACGUAGCUGGCUGCUGGUAGAAACACUGAAGCAGAACUUGUAAUAUCUUCAAAAAAAGUGAAGGCCAGGAAUCAGAAAUGCUUCUGAAGGUCAGCUGCCUCUCCAGCCAUCUAUGAAGAGCUAUGGUUCUGAUUCCUGGCUAAUAUCAGAAUCAUCCUGGGAGCUUCUGAAAAUCCUGAUGCUCAAGUCACACUCCAUACUCAGGCAUCUUCAGUUUUUCUAAGUACCUGGUGUGCUGGAGCACACGGAGUGAGAGGAAUCCAAGCAUAGAAUAAUUUUGGAGAGGAGGAAAGGUCAUGGAGAUCCUGUGGGCCAUGGCAAGGAGCCUGAAUUCUAUUUUAAACGAAAGGAAAAGGCAUGGUUGUGUAAGCAGAAGCUGGAAGACCCUUGAAAAGAGCAUUCAUUCAAGAAAUGAAGCAUGAAAUAGGAUGGAAGGAGGGAAGAAAGACAAGCACAUGGCAUAUCAGGUCUCUUCCAGUGCUAAAGGCUGCCUAUGAUACUCAUCUGACCUGAUUUCUCCUGCACAGUGUUGCAACUGACGAGUAGCAGACUUGCCCUUGCCUGCAUUUGGGGGGAUGGCUGAGACUUUUCUUAUAGAAAGCCCUACUUUCAGCAUGAACACUAACCCAGUUUAUUGGCUCAGGGUGUAGAGAGUUGCCUUGUCACUGGCGAAGUCAGAUGCAGCCAGUACCAGAGCUCUGCACUAGCUGUGAACACUAAGGAAGAACAGCUGAGUGAGGAAGCAGAGUGCCAGGCAGCACAUCCUUCUUCAGGUGUUUCCUGCCCUGGGACAGAUCCCAGGCACUGCAGCAAUAUCUCUGCAUGAUCUAGGGCUCCUGGAAAUAGCCCCUUAAGGGCAAAACUCACUGCCCAGAAAACAUUAGAACAUUAAAAGAGCAGGGUCUCAUCUGAUUGUCUUGGUUUCCUGAGGCUCAUUCAGUCUGUGUCCACUGGUUUCAGUCUGAGUUCUCUGCACUUUGAGGAUGCAGACAGUGAAGUUCUCUCAUGGUUAUAGGGGGAGAGAUCAUAGGAAUGCUAUGGAAAGAGGCCUGAAGUCAGAGCCAGCUAGUGGUUAUUAUUUAUUAACUGCCUGUGAGGUGCCAGGAGCACAUAUUAGACCAUAUGUGAUUGCAGUGAGCCACCCGUAUCCCCUUCAAGCUGUUGCUGCAGCUGAUGGAAGUCCUAUUGGCAGACAGCCUUCUCUCAUCAGCCCCUUCAGGACUUGCCUCAGUUGCAGAGAGCUGCCUUCCCCAAGAUCACACCCUUCCCUGGGGACUCGCAACCAACGGCUGAUCCAGAAGAAUCCAUAAAGCCCGUAUCAUUUCAGCCCAAUUUAGGACAGCUUUGUUGAGCCAUUAGACCUACAUGCAGCCCAACCUCUCCUUCUACCCACUUCUUUCUUUCUUUCCUUCCACGGUGUCUGUUCCAAGCACUUGCCUUAAUAAACAUGUAACAGGUUAAACUCUGUCUCGAUGUCUGCUUCAAGGAGAACCCAACCUGUGACAGUGAUAACAGAUAAAAACAAAGGACAUCACUUUUCCCUGCCUUACUUUCUAUUUACCACUAAAAAGGGUCUUGGACUUGCCCACUCAGUUUCUUCUCUUUCUUCACUGGGAGAUGGUCCCUCCACUACCACAGACACAAAAAAGAAGAGUCGGGAAGAGAGAGGGGUGAAAACAUUUGGGGCACUGCAGGCCUAGUGCUAGGUGACUGAAGACUACCUGGAGGGUACAGGAAGUGACUGUUUCUCCAUCAUGUAUUGUAUU
Pan troglodytes (chimpanzee) is the source of this 2407-nucleotide long non-coding RNA. RefSeq lists it as uncharacterized. NCBI's taxonomy places the organism in Eukaryota, Metazoa, Chordata, Mammalia, Primates, Hominidae. The record is from RefSeq and is a predicted model, not a curated record. The transcript has 9 exons.